UCAGAUUGUAUUUUGCUUCUUUUAUUCAAAAAAAGGGGGCAAUUAGUCUUUGUAUGUUAGACCAAAGAGCAAACUAGUCAUUUUUGUUAAAAAUUCCAUCAAUUUAUACAGUUAAAAAAUAUGACGUGCCAUGUCUAUAGGGACCGAUUUUUUAAUAGUAGAAAUAUAUGAGAUUUUUAACAAAAAGGAUCCAUUUGCUUUUUGAUUUAAUGUACAAGGAUUAAUUUGCUCACUUUUUGAGUACAGGGGACAAAAUACAAUCUAA
This 265-nucleotide microRNA precursor is filed under the name Gossypium hirsutum (cotton). RNAcentral's name for it is "miR7488 stem-loop (ghr-MIR7488)". Lineage: Eukaryota; Viridiplantae; Streptophyta; Magnoliopsida; Malvales; Malvaceae. The record is from miRBase by way of RNAcentral.